This 366-nucleotide ribosomal RNA is filed under the name Agrobacterium tumefaciens. RNAcentral's name for it is "partial 23S ribosomal RNA". It matches the Rfam family "Bacterial large subunit ribosomal RNA", at positions 1570 to 1919 of the family's 2925-position model. The record is from RNAcentral. Lineage: Bacteria; Pseudomonadati; Pseudomonadota; Alphaproteobacteria; Hyphomicrobiales; Rhizobiaceae.
GAGUUGCCAUUAGGCGACGAAGUGGUUGAUACCAUGCUUCCAAGAAAAGCUCCUAAGCUUCAGAUAACUGGGAACCGUACCCCAAACCGACACAGGUGGUUAGGUAGAGAAUACCAAGGCGCUUGAGAGAACUCGGGUGAAGGAACUAGGCAAAAUGGCACCGUAACUUCGGGAGAAGGUGCGCCGGUGAGGGUGAACGAUUUACUCGGUAAGCCCAUGCCGGUCGAAGAUACCAGGCCGCUGCGACUGUUUAUUAAAAACACAGCACUCUGCAAACACGAAAGUGGACGUAUAGGGUGUGAUGCCUGCCCGGUGCUGGAAGGUUAAUUGAUGGGGUUAGCGUAAGCGAAGCUCUUGAUCGAAGCC